GGCGGCAGGCCUAACACAUGCAAGUCGAACGGUAACAGAAAGCAGCUUGCUGCUUUGCUGACGAGUGGCGGACGGGUGAGUAAUGUCUGGGAAACUGCCCGAUGGAGGGGGAUAACUACUGGAAACGGUAGCUAAUACCGCAUAACGUCGCAAGACCAAAGAGGGGGACCUUCGGGCCUCUUGCCAUCGGAUGUGCCCAGAUGGGAUUAGCUAGUAGGUGGGGUAACGGCUCACCUAGGCGACGAUCCCUAGCUGGUCUGAGAGGAUGACCAGCCACACUGGAACUGAGACACGGUCCAGACUCCUACGGGAGGCAGCAGUGGGGAAUAUUGCACAAUGGGCGCAAGCCUGAUGCAGCCAUGCCGCGUGUAUGAAGAAGGCCUUCGGGUUGUAAAGUACUUUCAGCGGGGAGGAAGGGAGUAAAGUUAAUACCUUUGCUCAUUGACGUUACCCGCAGAAGAAGCACCGGCUAACUCCGUGCCAGCAGCCGCGGUAAUACGGAGGGUGCAAGCGUUAAUCGGAAUUACUGGGCGUAAAGCGCACGCAGGCGGUUUGUUAAGUCAGAUGUGAAAUCCCCGGGCUCAACCUGGGAACUGCAUCUGAUACUGGCAAGCUUGAGUCUCGUAGAGGGGGGUAGAAUUCCAGGUGUAGCGGUGAAAUGCGUAGAGAUCUGGAGGAAUACCGGUGGCGAAGGCGGCCCCCUGGACGAAGACUGACGCUCAGGUGCGAAAGCGUGGGGAGCAAACAGGAUUAGAUACCCUGGUAGUCCACGCCGUAAACGAUGUCGACUUGGAGGUUGUGCCCUUGAGGCGUGGCUUCCGGAGCUAACGCGUUAAGUCGACCGCCUGGGGAGUACGGCCGCAAGGUUAAAACUCAAAUGAAUUGACGGGGGCCCGCACAAGCGGUGGAGCAUGUGGUUUAAUUCGAUGCAACGCGAAGAACCUUACCUGGUCUUGACAUCCACGGAAGUUUUCAGAGAUGAGAAUGUGCCUUCGGGAACCGUGAGACAGGUGCUGCAUGGCUGUCGUCAGCUCGUGUUGUGAAAUGUUGGGUUAAGUCCCGCAACGAGCGCAACCCUUAUCCUUUGUUGCCAGCGGUCCGGCCGGGAACUCAAAGGAGACUGCCAGUGAUAAACUGGAGGAAGGUGGGGAUGACGUCAAGUCAUCACGGCCCUUACGACCAGGGCUACACACGUGCUACAAUGGCGCAUACAAAGAGAAGCGACCUCGCGAGAGCAAGCGGACCUCAUAAAGUGCGUCGUAGUCCGGAUUGGAGUCUGCAACUCGACUCCAUGAAGUCGGAAUCGCUAGUAAUCGUGGAUCAGAAUGCCACGGUGAAUACGUUCCCGGGCCUUGUACACACCGCCCGUCACACCAUGGGAGUGGGUUGCAAAAGAAGUAGGUAGCUUAACCUUCAGGGGGGCGCUUACCACUUUGUGAUU
RNAcentral lists this ribosomal RNA (1441 nucleotides) under uncultured organism. RNAcentral describes it as "16S ribosomal RNA". It matches the Rfam family "Bacterial small subunit ribosomal RNA". The record is from RNAcentral.